Molecule: long non-coding RNA, 670 nt
Filed under: Cricetulus griseus (Chinese hamster)
Lineage: Eukaryota; Metazoa; Chordata; Mammalia; Rodentia; Cricetidae
Description: lncRNA (ENSCGRG00015029971.1)
Source: RNAcentral
GGUGGCGCCCAAACGUGGGGCUCGAGGUACGGAUUCUUCAUCGGAACGGAGACCCCCACCCCAAGGAAACCUCGGUAGUGCACACCGACAAAAAGUCUGCUCGCCGAAUUGCGACGGACGCUGGUCUGGGAAAAGUUCUCACCGCUCAUGAGUGACUGAUUCCCUGCUUGUCUGCAGAAGGAUCCGAGUGUCCUGCGUGUAUUUCUUGCUGGCGAGGAAUACAGAGCGGGCGCGGGACAUAUGGUGCCGAAACCCGGGAAUUGUUAACAUCUCCAGCACCUCGGAGACCCCUUGGCUACAAGGCGGAUUCAGAACUGCAGGAUGGUAAAUUCGGAGAGGUAUGAUUUUUCUGGACUUUGGCUAAAGAAGUCCAGAAUUACAUAUCAGAAACCGAAUGUAAUGAGAGAAAUUCGGAGAGGUAUGAUUUUUCUGGACUUUGGCUUGGGAAUGUUGCUAUUGUGGGAGGUUAAUAUAGAGGCUUCUAUGCUUUUACUAGGAAUCUUAAAGAAGUCCAGAAUUACAUAUCAGAAACCGAAUGUAAUGAGAGAAAUUCGGAGAGUAUGAUUUUUCUGGACUUUGGCUUGGGAAUGUUGCUAUUGUGGGAGGUUAAUAUAGAGGCUUCUAUGCUUUUACUAGGAAUCUUAAAGAAGUCCAGAAUUACAUAUCAGAA